AUUGAACGCUGGCGGCAUGCCUUACACAUGCAAGUCGAACGGCAGCACGGGAGCAAUCCUGGUGGCGAGUGGCGAACGGGUGAGUAAUGUAUCGGAACGUGCCCAGUCGUGGGGGAUAACGUAGCGAAAGCUACGCUAAUACCGCAUACGAUCUAUGGAUGAAAGCGGGGGAUCGCAAGACCUCGCGCGAUUGGAGCGGCCGAUGUCAGAUUAGGUAGUUGGUGGGGUAAAGGCCCACCAAGCCUGCGAUCUGUAGCUGGUCUGAGAGGACGCCCAGCAAAACGGGAAAUGGGACACGGUCCAGACUCCUAGGGGGGGCAGCAGGGGGGAAUUUUGAAAAAUGGGCGCAAGCCUGUUCCAGAAAUGCCGCGUGCAGGAUGAAGGCCUUCGGGUUGUAAACUGCUUUUGUACGGAACGAAACGGCUUUUUCUAAUACAGAGAGCUAAUGACGGUACCGUAAGAAUAAGCACCGGCUAACUACGUGCCAGCCGCCGCGGUAA
This 500-nucleotide ribosomal RNA is filed under the name uncultured bacterium. Its description in RNAcentral is "partial 16S ribosomal RNA". It matches the Rfam family "Bacterial small subunit ribosomal RNA", at positions 30 to 523 of the family's 1533-position model. The record is from RNAcentral.